Molecule: ribosomal RNA, 253 nt
Filed under: uncultured bacterium
Lineage: Bacteria
Description: partial 16S ribosomal RNA
Rfam family: Bacterial small subunit ribosomal RNA
Source: RNAcentral
UACAGAGGGUGCGAGCGUUGUUCGGAAUUAUUGGGCGUAAAGAGCGUGUAGGCGGUCAGGUAGGUCCGUUGUGAAAACUCGAGGCUCAACCUCGAGACGCCGAUGGAAACCAUCUGACUAGAGUCCGGAAGAGGAGAGUGGAAUUCCUGGUGUAGCGGUGAAAUGCGCAGAUAUCAGGAAGAACACCCGUGGCUAAGGCGGCUCUCUAGUACGGUACUGACGCUGAGACGCGAAAGCGUGGGGAGCGAACAGG